This 229-nucleotide ribosomal RNA is filed under the name uncultured Eubacteriales bacterium. RNAcentral's name for it is "uncultured Clostridiales bacterium partial 16S ribosomal RNA". It matches the Rfam family "Bacterial small subunit ribosomal RNA", at positions 104 to 334 of the family's 1533-position model. Lineage: Bacteria; Bacillati; Bacillota; Clostridia; Eubacteriales. The record is from RNAcentral.
GGGUGAGUAACGCGUGAGUAACCUGCCUUACACAAGGGGAUAGCCGUUGGAAACGACGAAUAAUACCCUAUGAAACUAUCACUUCGCAUGAAGCGAUAGUCAAAGUGUUAGCGGUGCAAGAUGGACUUGCGUCUGAUUAGCUAGUUGGUGAGAAAAAGCCCACCAAGGCAACGAUCAGUAGCCGGCUUGAGAGAGUGUACGGCCACAUUGGGACUGAGACACGGCCCAG